AAAGGACCCUUCCGGGGUUCGGUUAAAGGCGUCUUUUUGUACCGGACGCGGAAACGGUUAACGGUCGUAAUAUCCGGUGACUACUGACGGUACCGGAAGAAUAAGCACCCGGCUAACUACGUGC
This 124-nucleotide ribosomal RNA is filed under the name uncultured bacterium. RNAcentral's name for it is "partial 16S ribosomal RNA". The record is from RNAcentral.